Molecule: non-coding RNA, 24 nt
Filed under: Arabidopsis thaliana (thale cress)
Lineage: Eukaryota; Viridiplantae; Streptophyta; Magnoliopsida; Brassicales; Brassicaceae
Source: RNAcentral
AGCCGGGUGUUGGUCAAUAUUAUA